AGGAAAAGAAAAGAGAGGAGUUCGUCGAUUAUUGGCGAUAAUUUAAUAGAGGUUAAUAAGAAUUCUCGGAUAUCCUGGAGGAUUUAUACAAGAAGAGUCGAGAGGAAAGAGCGAAGAAAACAAGUAUAGAAGAAGAUCUGUCGUUCGUUAGAAAGAAAGAUCGGAUUUCUUUCUGAUUACGGUUACGAUAUCGACGCGAAGAAAUAAGAGUAAGAUAAUUUCGAUCAAUUCUGGACAACUGACUCAAUGUUCUGAGUGGGCCUCUUGUUGAUUAUACGCGCUAAUGGAUAGUAAUCGAUCUAUCAUCGACUUUCGUUAGUUGGAUAGAUGUUGCCGAGAUUGUUUGUUAUAUCUGUUAGAUUUGAUGAAUAAGACGAAGGAACGAACGAAGAAGAAAAACGGAACAAAGAGAGAAACGUAUUAUUAGCGAGGGAACUGAAAUUAAUUGGAUUACAGGAAUGAUUAGUUAACCGAAUUAUAUCGUAUUUCUAAAUAUUCUUAUCGAUAUUUGUUAAUCGAAGAGAGUGAUGAAUUAAUAUUAAGGCCUAACUAAGGAUUUAAGUUUGAUAACGAUCCUCUCAAGUGUCGUCGAUUACGAGAUAGAGAUUCGGUGAUAAUUCGUUGAGAAGGUGAUUCAUAGAUGUACUUAGCGCAAAGAUAACAGCCUUGAAACUUUUCCACGCGGAUCGGAAGACCAAGCCGAGCGAGCUAGGCAAGAUGCUCUAUGCCCGACAGCGUGACUACAGCUAAAAGGUCGUGAUCGAUCGACUUACUUCGAUGGCCUAAAAGAACUUUAAACGUGCAAGGUCAUUAUGCAUAGCGAUAAAACGGGAACGUUAUAAGGCACAGACAAAUUGGUCGGUUCGUUUGACUGCUAAAACCGACACUGACCGUGUCACUUGAAAUAACGAACAGCAAACAAACUUUCAAAUCCAUUCCACAAUCUCUGAAAGAGAAUUUAUUAAAGACAGGACACUGUUCGUAACAGGUCAGAUGAUGCGAUAGCAGAAUAUCCGACGAUUUGCACUAUGUCGUGUCAAGGAUACUCGAAUGAUCAGGAACUUAUUGGCAUUAGCGAAAUGUGCCGCGUUGAUAGCGAGAUCUCUCUCGAGUUUUCACAGAAUUUCCAUGAGACUUCAAAGGCAUCGUCGUGUUUGGCAGAGCAACGAUAACGGAGGAUCGUUUUGACGAGGUCCAGAUCUAUUUCAUUUCGAGAGUCUAAAGUAACAACUUAUCGGACUGAUACGAUCAACAAAAAACCGUAAAAACGUAUCGUUCACUUCCACAUGGUUCUAAGCAGUGUGCAUUUUAAAUCCUCAUCCGCUCAACGAAAAGCGAAGCCUCCUCGAGCUUUUUUAAUACAUUCAGCUCACCAAAAAACACCGUAAAACUCCGUGUUCAUCAAAUGACGCAGCUCGCUAAAUGAGAUUACCGAAGCAAAUUGUUGUGCUUCGAUCGAACGGUCCAAAGAUCUGCUACUUGCUCUCGAUGCGAGAGGUGGCUCGAAUUGCGAUCGAGACUACCCCUGACCCCUCUGUAGCCAAGGGACAAAAGCUGCCGUGGCCGACGCUCGAUGAGUCCUAGUGAAGAUAAGGAUCCUCGAGAACCCUCGAUCGUUUCCCUGGAACGGCUGAAGAAGCUCCGGUUGGCACCUAUUUGAGAGCGGUCGGGUGAUGCGCGGGAGCAGCUCUGAGCUCCUGCUGGAGGCGAGCUGCGUCCAGUGUCAGAGCGAUCAUCACGCCGACCAGCACACCAGCACCAGGCAUCACCAACAGCAUCAGGUGAACGAGAAACACGACUUCCAGGAGCAGGAGCUACGUCGUCGCAAGCUGUUGGAGCUCGGGUUCGGCGCUUCGCGGCGCCGACCGCCACGGCGUACCUGCCGUCAGCGGUUCAAUUUUUACGCAACGUCGGCGUUGGCCUUCGUCGCGACAUCCGGUGGCGCGGCCUUGCUAUUCUUGGUGCCACUUUACGUCGAUCCGGCGAUCAGCACUCUGGCCGCCGAUUUCUCGCCGGAUCCGGUCAUCUGCACCACCUCCAGACGGGAGGAGUUGGCCGGAUUGUUCAAUUGUACUUGGAGUUCUUGCCGCGAGGGUUGUACAAGCGACGUUUACAGAUGUACGCAUAUAUACGUCACCUACACACCAUGGAGCAACACGAGCAUGAAGAACGACACCGGGGGUAGAGGCAACUCGACCGGCAUCACGCACACCUCGACCACUUCCGUGCCGACUCCCGGCGAUGUGGAGGCGGUGCUUCUGGUGAACAUCAAAGGGUGCGGCUAUCCGCCGAUCGUCGACUGCGAGAACUUCACCCGCAAAAUGGGCUACGAAGGCGCGAAAUUUCCCUGCCAUUACAGCCGUGUGAACGGCAGCAUAGUGAUGGCGAACUAUAACCGCGAAGCGCAGGUCACCACCAUCAUACACUUCUUCGCGGCGCCUUUCGUAGUGACUCUCGCGACCAGCGUCGCUCUGUGUGUGAUGCACUGUGACUGCAGGUGCAGCCCACCCCCACGCCAUUCAUCGCGAGGAAUCAGAAGAGGCAGGGGCAACGAUCUCAGCGAUCACUCGAUAAGCAAUCGCGUGGAUCGACGGGGUCACCCAACGCACUGCGAGUGCGGCGAAGUGACCAGGCCUUUAUGACGACGUGAGGAAACGGCCGAGAGUGCCCUGGCCACGUCGCAAUCUGACUUUUAGGCCUUGUCCCACUCACUUCCACACGUCCCGCUCUCGGCCGUUUCAACCCUCUCGAAAAUCCUCCCUUUCCAUCUAUCCAACUCAUCGCACCUUGUACGUAACACACCUGAUCCUAUCCUUCCACUAGCAUUCCACACGACCUAUAUAUACACGUAUAUAUGUACAAAACGACAGUGUACAAGCACCGUGCAAGAAGCGGAGCGAGCCAACAGGUAUAGAGAGAGAAAAAGGAAACGAUCUCUCGAAAGUGGACGAGGAAUUUUUAUUUUUAAUAUUAGAAGUAGUUUUAGGAAG
This 2990-nucleotide unclassified non-coding RNA is filed under the name Apis florea (little honeybee). RNAcentral's name for it is "uncharacterized LOC100869614, transcript variant X3". The record is from RNAcentral. Lineage: Eukaryota; Metazoa; Arthropoda; Insecta; Hymenoptera; Apidae.